This 2764-nucleotide long non-coding RNA is filed under the name Stegodyphus dumicola. RNAcentral describes it as "uncharacterized LOC118198230". Lineage: Eukaryota; Metazoa; Arthropoda; Arachnida; Araneae; Eresidae. The record is from RNAcentral.
UAUAAUCCGGAAAAAUCGAUAAUCCGGAAUCGCCGAAGUCCCGACGAGUCCGGAUUAACGACUUUUGACUGUACUAUGUAAAAUUUCAUAAAUUGGAUUUUGUAUUGUUUUACAAAAUACAUACUUGAACAAACAAAUAGUUGAUAAUAUAAAUAUGUAGCUUUACAGUUAUUUAAAGGAAAUUUGCUUCAAAAUCCUGGUCCCUCAUUUUUUGGAUUAAUUGAUUUUAAGAAAUUGCAUAUCUUCUUUUGAAUUGCAUUUAAUUUCUUUCGUUGUUAAAUCCCUUAGAUGUCUUUAAUGUUUAUUAUAUUCCAAUCUGUUAUUUUCCCCCUCCACAUACUUAGUUGAUUAAAUGUUCUUUCACUUCCUCUUUACUAUGAGUUAUUCCUUCGAAUGUCUACUUUAUUUAAAAUUUGAUAAUCUCUGACCUUUUUAUUCAUUCCCCCAGAAAGUAAUGAAAGUUCAGUUUUCCAUAUCUUCUUUAGUAAACUCUUUCAGACUACUCUUUACUAUUUUUAUAAUUUAGUUUUACAGAAAUUAAUAUUAUUUCAUAAGUUUUUUGCACCUGUCCUGUGUCUAUUUUUCUUUGCAGAAAACUUGAGUGAUUAUUUUCAUGUCAGUUGUAAAGCAAGCUAGUAAGAUAAGUUAAAUUCAAGUUACAUUAGUAGGUUAAAUUCAAGGUUUGAAUUCGAGUAAGUUAAAUAUAAGGCUAGUAAUUUCUGCCAAAGUGGUUAAAACCAGCAACCAUAAAAAUGGCAGAAAUUUACGAAAUAAAUAAAAACUGAAUGAAGUAUUGCAAGUUGUAGGGAGGAACAUAUUUUAAAAUAAAUUCAGCUACAUUGUUUACAAUAUUCAAAAUAUAUGCAAUGAUCGUUAAAAGAUGCACAUCUAAAUUCAAUUGCAGUAUGAUCUUUUUUAAGAAAUGGUCUGUAGAAGAUGACUAAUUUAGCUGCUAUUCCAAACACCAAAAUAUUUUUCAGUUUAUUGUGAAUAAUAAAAAAGCUGAAGAAUAUUCUUUCAAGUGCUGAGAAAGCUAGAUUUAUAUAUAUAUAUUUAUGUUUGAACAAAACCAACCUGCAGCAGCUGAAACAUUUUGUAAAAUUUCAUGGAGAAAUAUGUAGAAAAAGGGGAUUUUUCUGUUUGAAAAGCUAUGAAGCUAUAAUAUAUGAGGUUUAUGUCUUGUCAUGUCCUUGCUGCUCAUUUAGACUACUAUGUGUUUUGGACAUUGAGGUAAGAAUAAAAGGAGAUGCCAUCCCCACACAACCCCUGAUGCAGUGCUGCCAAGCUUUGGUCUCCAAAGCGGUUGUAUUUUCUUUAUAUCCAGAGCAUGUUGACAGUAGUUUAGUGGUACUGCCACCCACGAUAGUUCCACACAAAUCGAAAAGCGGCGACACUUCUGCAUGAAAGAAAUAUGUUGGAUGGAUAAUGGCUAUUUGUAUAGUUUAGGGGCACUCAUGCAAAAAAUCUUAGUUAUUUUUUGAACUUGCAGCAGCAAUUUUGAUUAUGAAUUUGCUUUAUAAAUUUCUAAGGAACUAGAUGACAAAAAUAUAUAUUUUAGCAAAAUGUUUGUUAUGUUUGAAGAAUGAUAAUACCUUAAGAUAAUACCUUUAAAAUGUCAAAAUGAUAAUACCUUUAAAAUAAUGAUAAUACCUUUAAAAUGUCAAAAUAUCGCAAAAAUAUAACAUACUUUAAAGCUCAGUUUCCUUAUAACUGACUGGUAUAAGUGUAAAAAUUUUAAUACUUAUUUUGAUGCCCUUGAUAGUAUAUUUGCUACUUUUCUUUUAUGUUCUAAAUAUCAGAAUAUUUUAAAGAAAAUGUUUUUCAUCAUCAACAUAAUACUGUAAUAUCCACUUUUUAAACAUUUUUAGGGUAGAAACAUAAUAAUUGCUUAUUUUAAUCUUAUCAUUUUAUUUUUGUAUAAUUGAAAAAUAAUCACUUUGGGUUUAUUUAUCUUAAAUGAAAUUACCUCCUAAUCCUGCAGUCCUUGUAAAAGUUAAUAAAUAUAUAGACAGAUAUGCUAACAAGUUAACUUUUCCUUCAUUUGUAACCAUGUAAUUGUGUAACAUUGUAUACAGGAACAUUUGCCAAUUCAGUGAAAAUAUAGUGUGCAGUCAAGGUGAUUUGACUGUGCCACAUCAUCAUGACAACUUAUAAGGAAUUUGAAAAUAGGGCGAUGCCAUUACUAUUAACCAGGAUAUCAAUACAUUUUGGAUUACCUUGCAGUAUGUAAAUUUCAGUUUCAUUGAAGAAAGUGAAUGAUGAAAGAGUGAUUUCAUGUUAUAGUAUUAGAUCACCAAAUUUGAGAGAUCUUCCUCUGUUCUGUAGUCAGAACUGUAUUUAUGUAGUAUGCAAUAAAACUUUCAUAAUGAAGAAAGAAUUGAAAAGGCAUUUAAAUCUUCGUACAGGAAAGCAUUUGUUUGCACUGUAUGUAAAAAGUUAUGCGCAAAAAGGAACUCUCAAGAAUCACAUGAGAAGGCAUAGUGGAGAAUGUCCAUGUUAAUGCUACAUUUUGCCCUGAAGUGUGUACUCACUUUAUUACACUUCACUAUCAUCUUUAGCCCAUAUGAAAUAAUAAAGAAUCUGCUAAAGGAGCAGAGAAAGGGCAAUUGUCAUAGAAUAUUUAAUACUUCAUUAAAGACGAUGAAAGAAAGUCAGACAGUGUGUGAUAAAAACAUCUUUUCAUUCUCCAGUACUAUUGCAGCUUCCUCCAGUGAACUUACUCAUCUUUACACUUUGCAUUUUUGUCAUAUAUGCAAUAAAUCUU